RNAcentral lists this transfer RNA (75 nucleotides) under Cordylochernes scorpioides. RNAcentral describes it as "tRNA-Thr". It matches the Rfam family "tRNA". From Rfam's summary of the family: Transfer RNA (tRNA) molecules are approximately 80 nucleotides in length. The record is from RNAcentral. Lineage: Eukaryota; Metazoa; Arthropoda; Arachnida; Pseudoscorpiones; Chernetidae.
GUCCAUGGAAGCCUAGUGGACAUGGCACCUGCCAGGUAAGCUGAACACUGUGGGUUCGUUUCCCAUCCCUGGACA